AUCCGGCUUCACAAAAUCAAAUUUCAGUUUCAAAAUUGUCUUUGCUGACACCUGGCUUUUUGGAUACUUCAGAGGGCCCCUGGAGUGUCCAGAAAAGAGAGCAAUCUCCAGCCGCGGCUCAGAAAGAACAAGAGGGAUGGGUAAUGUAAACAUCUGGAUCAAGGCCGGGUUUGGUGGCUCAUGCCUGUAAUCCCAGCACUUUGCAAGGCUAAGGUAACCAAACUCCAAACAGCAAUGGAACCAGAGCCUCUGAAGGUGGCCCCUUCUGCUGGCAACCCUUAGACAGGCCUCACAGGGAGCCCUGACUGCUGUUUCCCCAAACAGCAUACCCCGUCAGUAGAAAGCACUUAGGAUCGAUUUUCGGGCCCACUUGGUGGCACGUGCCUGUAAUCCCAGCACUUUGGGAGGGCAGGAUGGGUGGAUCACUUGAGGUCGGAAGUCUGAGACCAGCCUGACCAACAUGGCAAAACCUCGUCUCUACUAAAAAUACAAAAAUUAGCCAGGCUAGCCAGGCAUGGUGGCACAUGCCUGUAAUCCCAGCUACUUUGGAGACUGAGGUAGGAGAAUCACUUGAACCCGGGAGGCAGAGAUUGCACUGAGCUGAGAUCGUGCUGCUACACUCCAGCCCGGGUGACAGAGCAAAACCCCGUCUCAAAAAAAAUAAAUAAAUAAAGA
RNAcentral lists this long non-coding RNA (675 nucleotides) under Homo sapiens (human). RNAcentral describes it as "HSALNT0252905". Lineage: Eukaryota; Metazoa; Chordata; Mammalia; Primates; Hominidae. The record is from RNAcentral.